Molecule: long non-coding RNA, 7169 nt
Filed under: Daucus carota (carrot)
Lineage: Eukaryota; Viridiplantae; Streptophyta; Magnoliopsida; Apiales; Apiaceae
Description: long non-coding RNA (DCAR_LNC000905)
Source: RNAcentral
GAAUCCGUACCUCGAAAAUAGCUAAUCGAACACUCACGAGAUUCCGCAAAUAAUUCGCUAAACUCCCGACUCCGAACCUAAAUAUAAAAUUAUAAUCUAUUAUUAACGAUUUCUAAUAAUCGACUGAGAUAUUUACAGACUCGAUAAUAUACCAACAUAAUCUCAAAUCCAGUGAUUAAUAGCGUACACAUUAAAUCAAUACUCUAGUCAGAACAGGCUGAUAUUUGUUGCGGAAGCAUAUCGUAACUCAUUUCCUUUCAUAAUUACUAAGGAGUAAAAACUAUACUCUUGUGAGCCAAUAUCCCCUGUACCCAAUUCACCGUGCAUGAUUGGUAGCCAAUUAAUAAACUAAUACAGCAUGAGUGCAUGACGACAUAACAAGGCAAAACAUUAUUCAAUAUCAAAUGGCAUGAUACCUUUCUGCCUAUAAUUUCCGAGACAAAGCUCUCCCCUGGUACGUAUUCUCCGUUCUCUCCUUCUCCUUCACUCUGUUUUUCACCCUUUUUCCUUUACUCUGCGGCUACUUCUAGGGUUAUUAAUAACUGAUAUGUUUUUAUAUAUAGGCCUCCAAGUAUCCUAUAACUAAUAUAACUCUAAUUAUUAAUAUUAAUCUAUUUCUAAUCUAAUUACUAAUUCUAUUUCUAAUCAAAUUAUAUUAAAACAAGUAUUAUUAUUAACUUAAAUUACUAAUUCUUUUACUAAUCAAAUUACUAAACUAAUAUUAUUAAUUCUAUUCUAAUUCAGAUUUAAUAAUAAUAAUAAAUAAAUACGGAUAUUACAUAUAUACCCCCUUAAAAAGGAUUCCGUCCCCGGAAUCUAACGAAACUAAAACUCGUACCUGAAUUAAAUAAAUGCGGAUAUCUCUCACGAAUAGAAUCCUCUAAUUCCCAAGUAGCCUCUCGCUCCGAAUGAUUCUUCCACAAAACUUUGACAAACAAAAUAUUUUUCUUCCUCAUUACUCGCUCUUCUCGAUCUAAAAUAGCUUCCGCUUCUUCUUCACAAGAAAGAUCCUCCCUAAUCUUAUGUAACGGAUACUGAACUACGUGAAACGGAUGAUACUUGUAGCCCUUCAGAACAGACACAUGAAACACAUUAUGUACAUGAGAUAACUGUGGUGGCAAAGCAACUCUAUAUGCCACCUCACCCACUCUCUCUAUAACAUCAAAAGGACCCACAUAUCUCGGACUAAGCUUCCCCUUCAUACCAAAACGCUUAACACCCUUCUAAGGAGACACCUUCAAGAACACAUGAUCACCGGGUUCAAAUCCACCAAACUUUCUCUUUUGAUCUGCAUAAAUCUUUUGACGUGAUUGAGCCUUCUGUAAAUUCUCUCUAGCCUGCGCCACCUUCUCAUUAGUUACUCUAACCAACUCUGGCCCUUCAAUAUCUCUCUCUCCAACCUCAUCCCAACAAGUCGGCGCCCUACACUUCCUACCAUACAAAGCCUCAAAUGGUGGCAUGCCAAUACUUGCGUGCCAGCUGUUAUUAUAUGCGAACUCAACAAGAUACAAAUACUUAUCCCAGUCGCCUGUCCACUCUAAGGCACAAGCUCUCAACAUGUCCUCCAAUGUCUGAAUCGUCCUCUCUGACUGUCCAUCUGUCUGCGGAUGAAAGGCCGUACUAAAGUUAAGUUUUGUUCCCCAAGCUCGCUGAAAUCCCUUCCAAAAGUGUGAUGUGAACCUCGUAUCUCUGUCAGAAACUAUAGACACAGGCAUACCAUGAAGUCUAACAAUAUCCCUCUGAAAAAUCUCCGCCAACUCAUGAACAGGAGUAGUCUCUCGAAUAGGCAAGAAAUGAGCAGAUUUAGUAAGUCUAUCAACUACCACCCAUAUGACAUCAUUCUUUCUAAAAGUCCUUGGUAAACCAGUCACAAAAUCCAUGGUUAUGUUUUCCCACUUCCAAAUCGGAAUAUCUAGCUGCUGUAACAAUCCACUAGGUCUCUGAUGUUCAAUCUUCACCUGCUGACAUGUAAGACACUUACCCACAAACUCCGCUAUAUCUCGCUUCAUUCCAUUCCACCAAAAAUGCAUCUUCAAGUCCCUAUACAUCUUAGUAGAACCCGGAUGAAUAGAAAAUGAAGAACUAUGAGCCUCUGUCAAUAUUGCCUCACGAAUUGUCGAAUCUGAAGGAACACAAAGUUUACUACCCAACCAUAUCACACCCUCAUCAUCAACACGAAAAUCGGUUUGCUUCCCAUUCGCCAGCUCCAAUUUAAUAGCAUCCACUCCGAAUCAUUCUUUUGAGCAUCCUUAAUCUUCGAAAUAAGAUUAGGUUCCACCUUUAAGCUUGCUACACUGCCAUCUGACCCUCUAACAUACAACUCCACAUCUAAGCGCUCUAAAUCUGAAAUAAGGUGCGGCUGAGUAACAAGAGAUGCCACACUCCCGAAGUUCUUCCUACUAAGAGCAUACGCCACCACAUUAGCUUUCCCCGGAUGGUACUGAAUCUUAGCAUCAUAAUCCUUAAGAAGUUCAAGCCACCUCCUCUGCCUCAUGUUCAACUCCUUCUGCGUAAAAAUGUACUUAAGACUCUUGUGAUCAGUGAAGAUAUCACAAGUCUCUCCAUAUAGAUAAUGUCUCCAAAUCUUCAAUGCAAAUACCACUGCUGCUAACUCCAAGUCAUGGGUCGGAUAAUUCACCUCAUAGGGCUUAAGCUGUCUAGAGGCGUAAGAAAUCACCUUCCCAUGCUGCAUAAGAACACACCCCAAACCUCUCUUAGAAGCAUCACUGUAAACCUGAUACUCCCCCACUGCCUGNNNNNNNNNNNNNNNNNNNNNNNNNNNNNAAUCCCCUUACCAGACACAAUAUGCCCCAGAAAUGCAACCUGCUCCAACCAAAACUCACACUUUGAAAAUUUGGCAAACAAUUUCUUCUCCCUCAAAAUACCCAACACAACGCGCAAAUGCUCCUCAUGCUCCUCCUUACUCCUAGAGUAUAUCAAGAUAUCAUCAAUGAAGACCACAACAAACUUAUCAAGGUAAUCAUGGAAGAUCCGGUUCAUCAAGUCCAUAAACACGGCUGGUGCAUUCGUCAACCCAAAAGACAUCACAAGAAACUCAUAGUGACCAUAUCGAGUGCGAAAAGCUGUCUUAGGAAUAUCCUCAUCUCUUACUCGUAACUGGUGGUAACCCGAUCUCAAAUCAAUCUUUGAAAAAUACUUCGCCCCUUGCAACUGAUCGAACAAAUCAUCAAUACGUGGCAACGGAUACCUGUUCCUAACAGUCACCUUAUUCAACUCUCUGUAAUCAAUACAUAAUCUCAUUGACCCAUCCUUCUUCUUCACAAACAACACUGGAGCACCCCAUGGAGACACACUAGGCCUGAUAAAUCCCCUAUCCAACAAUUCUUGCAACUGCUCUUUCAACUCGUGCAACUCUAGUGGUGCCAUCCUGUACGGCGUCUUAGAAAUAGCCUCUGCACCUGGAACAAGUUCAAUACUAAACUCCACUUCUCGAUGCGGUGGCAAACCUGGUAACUCAUCGGGAAACACAUCUGCGUAUUCACUCACAACUGCAUAAUCCUCUAUACGAGACUCAACCUUGGAUGUAUCCUUUACAAAAGCAAGAUAACCAUCACAACCCUUAGACAAGAGCUUCUUCGCCUUAAGAGCUGAAAUCAACUUAACCUCCCCUUUUGGCUGAGACCCCUGGUAUACAUACUCUGGCUUAUUCACAUCCCCAAAGAUAACCCGUUUCUCCUCACAAUUAAUCGUCGCCCUAUACUCACUCAACCAAUCCAUACCCAAAAUAAUGUCAAAGUCAUGCAUCAUCAUCGGAAGCAAGUUGACCUUAUAAUUUCUAUCCCCCACAACUAUCAAACACUCUCGGUACGCAUCAGAAAUACUAACAGAAGUCCCCAUAGGGGUAGCAAUAGACAUAUGCGGAGAUAAUAAUGAAGGAAAGACACCUAGAUAACGAACAUAUGAUAGGGAUACCACAGAAUGAGUCGAACCAGUAUCAAAUAACACAUAAGCAUCACGUGUACCCACAAAGACCGUUCCAGAAACAGUACCUGGAUUAGUUGCUGCCUGAGAAGAAGUCAAUGCGAAGACUCUGCCUGUAGGAUUCUGCUGAUUCUGCUGAUUCGGCUGACCUCCACUGCCACUACCUCCAUCACCAUUAUUACGUGGACAGUCCUUUAACCUAUGAUCCAUCGAACCACACGAGAAACAUGCCCCAGUCUGUUUAUAACAAGCUCUGCCCGGAUGGUGUCUACCACAUGUAGCACAAGGAGCCACCGGAAUCAUAUUGGGGUUACCCCCAUACGCUGGAUAACGUCCCUGUCCCCUUUGACGAUUCUGCCACUGUCUAGGCUGCUGCUGAAACUGCUGAGUCUGCCCCUGCUGAGCCUGCCCCUGACCACUAUACUGAUUCUGCCUCUGACCAUGAGCUGUAUGACCUCCCCUAUUCUGGUUCUGUCCACGCCACUGUCCAUACCGACUGUUCUGACCACCAUACCCCUGUCUACCCUGUGCUGUGACUAGCUGAUCAUCUCUACCCCUCUUACGACCACUGUCAGAUCUGUUAGUCCGGAAGUCUAUACGCUCCUUCUCAACAUCCUUGGCUGCAUCAGCCACCUCUGCUACAUUCUGAAAUCUGGAAGAAAUGAUAGACAUCCUAAGAGACGACUUCAGCCCCCAUUUAAAUUUUUCUGCCUGCUGUGCUGCAGUCCCUGCAGAAGUCCCAGCAAAUCCCGCCAACCUGAUAAAUCUCGCAAGAUACUCAGUGAUACUCUCAUCAUGCUUCUGCUCAAUAGAAUUAAACUCUCUCAUAUAACCAUCCUUCUCUGCCUUUGAGAAGUACUGCUCAUAAAACAAAUCUGUGAACCCCUGCCAAGUCAAUGCCUCAACAAAUGCAUCACCCCUGAUAGUCUUCACUCCUCUCCACCACCUCUGAGCAUCCCCCUCUAACUUAUACACAGCCAAUCUCACCUUUGUAGCGUCAUCACAUCCCAAUGCAUCAAAAAUCUUCUCAAGAUGAACAAUCCAAUUUUCAGCAUCAAUAGGCUGUGGUGCUGAAUGAAAAGAAUCCGGUUUCUGCUUAACAAACCUAUCGAACCAAGCUAGUGCAUCAGGCUGAUUUUGUUGCUCCUCAUUAUUUCCUGGGUUUCCCUGAUUUUGCCCAGCUUGUUGCAAAGCCUGAGUCACUGCUUGAGCUAUCAACUGAGCUAACUCAGCUGCACCAAUGUUAACGUUAUCGCGCCUAGGAUUCUCACGUCUAGGAGGCAUCUACAAGAUAAGAAACGAAACGAAUAAGAAAACGAGGUUGGAUAAGAAAAUAGUACAAGCAGAUAUCAAAUGAAUUGCGCAGAUGAAGUGAGCAGUUGAAAUGAAUUUAAACAGAAUACCCAUCCUAACGUCUACCCAUUCUCACAGGUCAACCUAAAUAGGUUUUCUACAGGAAAGAACCUCGCUCUGAUACCAACUUUGUAACACCCCCAUCUUAAAUUAAGACGAGAGGUUACCUACAAAUCCAAAACCUGCAAACAGAGCACUAAUAUAUAUUCCAAACGAUGAUAAACAAUUCUAAUAAGUACUCGAAUGAUAUAAAUCCUCGGAAAUAAUUUAAUCUAAAUAAUGCGAAUAAAUAGAAUCUCUAAACAAUAAAAUCCGAAUAAAUGCUAGAAGUCCAUAAAUCCUAAUCAAUGAAAAGAAAGGCUGCUCUCCAUCACACAGUCCCGAAUCCCCCUAAGUACCUGCCAGAAGAAGAAUACGGCAUGAGCCAAAUGCCCAGUACGGAUUGGAAACAUUUACAAAACAAGAAACAUUUAAAAUAUUUUGACAGUAAUAUAAAUCAGUUAUUUUAAAAUAACAGGCUGAAGCAACAAGGGGUUAGGAUAUUUCAUACCGAGAUCAAAUCAGAACAUAUACAGAUACACACAUCAUAGGGUACCUAAUGUGUGCAACAAAUCGGAUAACGUGUACGGCAUAUACAACGUCACCGUCAAAUCACAAAUCAUAUCAAAACUGAACUGGGUGCACCCACGUAUCCUGAACAUAUAAUCAAAAUGGCCAAAGCUCCUCCCAAGAGCUAACAGAAGGAUACGCCGUGACCAAUCACACUGUCACGGAAGUGUCAUGUCAAUGGUGCCGCAAAGACAUGGCUGUAGUACCCCUACAGCUGGGAAACUCGGUAUACCCUAUAUCUCUCUAAGGGUUCAAACAAAACAAUUUUCACAACUUUAAAUCACAUGGUACAUAUAUUUCAAAUAAACUAAACAAAUCAUAUUUUGUAAAAUCUUUGAAAACCGCAUAACAAUUAUUUCAAUCUUUCAAAACAGAUUUUUAAAAUAUUUUUCGGAAAUCAAAACAGUCAAAUGAAUAACGCAAAACAGCCUUAGCAAAUCGGACGGAUUAAAAUAGGACAGAUCAAAAUUAUUUAAUAUCAAAAAGAGUAGUGCUGAAUAAAAUGAAUAGAAUCCGUACCUCGAAAAUAGCUAAUCGAACACUCACGAGAUUCCGCAAAUAAUUCGCUAAACUCCCGACUCCGAACCUAAAUAUAAAAUUAUAAUCUAUUAUUAACGAUUUCUAAUAAUCGACUGAGAUAUUUACAGACUCGAUAAUAUACCAACAUAAUCUCAAAUCCAGUGAUUAAUAGCGUACACAUUAAAUCAAUACUCUAGUCAGAACAGGCUGAUAUUUGUUGCGGAAGCAUAUCGUAACUCAUUUCCUUUCAUAAUUACUAAGGAGUAAAAACUAUACUCUUGUGAGCCAAUAUCCCCUGUACCCAAUUCACCGUGCAUGAUUGGUAGCCAAUUAAUAAACUAAUACAGCAUGAGUGCAUGACGACAUAACAAGGCAAAACAUUAUUCAAUAUCAAAUGGCAUGAUACCUUUCUGCCUAUAAUUUCCGAGACAAAGCUCUCCCCUGGUACGUAUUCUCCGUUCUCUCCUUCUCCUUCACUCUGUUUUUCACCCUUUUUCCUUUACUCUGCGGCUACUUCUAGGGUUAUUAAUAACUGAUAUGUUUUUAUAUAUAGGCCUCCAAGUAUCCUAUAACUAAUAUAACUCUAAUUAUUAAUAUUAAUCUAUUUCUAAUCUAAUUACUAAUUCUAUUUCUAAUCAAAUUAUAUUAAAACAAGUAUUAUUAUUAACUUAAAUUACUAAUUCUUUUACUAAUCAAAUUACUAAACUAAUAUUAUUAAUUCUAUUCUAAUUCAGAUUUAAUAAUAA